RNAcentral lists this ribosomal RNA (442 nucleotides) under uncultured Peptococcaceae bacterium. Its description in RNAcentral is "partial 16S ribosomal RNA". It matches the Rfam family "Bacterial small subunit ribosomal RNA", at positions 338 to 794 of the family's 1533-position model. The record is from RNAcentral. Lineage: Bacteria; Bacillati; Bacillota; Clostridia; Eubacteriales; Peptococcaceae.
CCUACGGGAGGCAGCAGUGGGGAAUCUUCCGCAAUGGGCGAAAGCCUGACGGAGCAACGCCGCGUGAAUGACGAAGGCCUUCGGGUUGUAAAGUUCUGUCUUCAGGGAAGAAGCAAGUGACGGUACCUGAGGAGGAAGCCCCGGCUAACUACGUGCCAGCAGCCGCGGUAAUACGUAGGGGGCAAGCGUUGUCCGGAAUUACUGGGCGUAAAGAGCGUGUAGGCGGGUUAUUAAGUCAGGUGUGAAAACUUGGGGCUCAACCGCAAGAUUGCACCUGAUACUGGUAGUCUUGAGGGUAUGAGAGGGAGACGGUAUUCCUAGUGUAGCGGUGAAAUGCGUAGAUAUUAGGAGGAACACCAGUGGCGAAGGCGGUCUCCUGGCAUACAACUGACGCUGAGACGCGAAAGCGUGGGGAGCAAACAGGAUUAGAUCCCCCUGUAGU